This 464-nucleotide ribosomal RNA is filed under the name uncultured bacterium. Its description in RNAcentral is "partial 16S ribosomal RNA". It matches the Rfam family "Bacterial small subunit ribosomal RNA", at positions 338 to 795 of the family's 1533-position model. The record is from RNAcentral.
CCUACGGGAGGCUGCAGUAGGGAAUUUUCGUCAAUGGGCGCAAGCCUGAACGAGCGAUGCCGCGUGAGUGAAGAAGGCCUUCGGGUCGUAAAGCUCUGUUGCGGGGGAAAAAAGGCAGCAUCAGGAAAUGGGCGCUGACUGAUGGUGCCCCGCCGGAACGUCACGGCUAACUACGUGCCAGCAGCCGCGGUAAUACGUAGGUGGGGAGCGUUAUCCGGAUUUAUUGGGUUGAAAGGGUGCGUGGGCGGAAUGCCAAGUCAGCGGUACAAUCGCGGGGCUCAACCUCGCUCCGCCGUUGAAACUGGCGGUCUUGAGUGGGCGAGAAGUAUGCGGAAUGCGUGGUGUAGCGGUGAAAUGCAUAGAUAUCACGCAGAACUCCGAUUGCGAAGGCAGCAUACCGGCGCCCAACUGACGCUGAAGCACGAAAGCGUGGGUAUCGAACAGGAUUAGAUACCCGGGUAGUC